CUCCCUGGCGCUCUCUCGCUCUAGCUCUCUCUCGCACUCGCUCUCUCUCGCUCUCACCCUCGCUCUGCGUUCUGUCCGGGAGGAGUACCCAGAAGCCAAUAGGAUGCGGGGUCUCUAAUGGAUGCAAAUGAUGGUGAAAAGACGGGGCAAAAUAUGAAACAACUCAUUUGGAGGGAAGUAAAUCACCGAAAACUGUUUAUGAACUGGCAUCCCUUCUUCGAAAUGUAAAGCGAGGACCUCUUUAAGUGGCGGUAUAUUUUUGUUUGGGGGGUGGGGGGUGGGGGGAGGGCGAGCGAGCCGCGGCUGCCAUGCAGGCUUAGACUUUUGCAGGCUUCGCUCUUCUAUUCCUGGAAAUCACAAAAAGUGUGGCGGCUUUGAGAUCUUCUUCGUCUUUUCUUUCUUUUCCUUCCUUCCUUCUUUUUUUUCCCCUCCUCCCUUUUCCUCUCCUUUCCUGGCGAGGGUGACUAGGAGCCGGCGAAUCCGCGUUUUUUUUUCUCUCUCUCUCCCUCCCUUUUCCCCCUCCCCACCCCCUCCCCAACAGCCCCCAACUACAGCCUGCGCCGCCGCCGCCGCCGCC
RNAcentral lists this long non-coding RNA (577 nucleotides) under Mus musculus (house mouse). RNAcentral describes it as "long non-coding RNA chr11:96282370-96282947". The record is from RNAcentral. Lineage: Eukaryota; Metazoa; Chordata; Mammalia; Rodentia; Muridae.